This 508-nucleotide ribosomal RNA is filed under the name uncultured bacterium. RNAcentral describes it as "bacterial SSU rRNA". It matches the Rfam family "Bacterial small subunit ribosomal RNA", at positions 29 to 524 of the family's 1533-position model. The record is from RNAcentral.
AGCGAACGUUUGCGGCGGGCCUAACACAUGCAAGUCGAACGAUAACCCGGGCUUCGGUCUGGGGGAAGGUGGCGCACGGGUGCGUAACACGUGGGUAAUCAACCCUUUGGAUCGGGACAACCCGGGGAAACUCGGGCUAAUACCGGAUAAGUCGUGGGAGUCUUCGGGCACCCACGGGAAAGGCCCGCAAGGGCUACCAUUGGACGAGCUCGCGGCCCAUCAGCUUGUUGGUGAGGUAAUGGCUCACCAAGGCUAAGACGGGUAGCUGGUCUGAGAGGAUGAUCAGCCACACUGGAACUGAGACACGGUCCAGACUCCUACGGGAGGCAGCAGUGGGGAAUAUUGCGCAAUGGGCGAAAGCCUGACGCAGCCACGCCGCGUGUGCGAUGAAGGUCUUCGGAUCGUAAAGCUCUGUGGGGGAGAAGAAGAAAGCCGGUGAAGAGCCGGCCCUGACGGUAUCCCCUUAGCAACGUCACCGGCUAACCUCCGUGCCAGCAGCCGCGGUAAA